AAUCCAAACCGGGCAAUCGCUUUUGGUUUUAUAACCAGAGGAGGAAAGUCCGAACUUCGUAGAACAGAGUGCCGGGUAAUUCCCGGGGUUCCGCUUUUGCGGGAUACGGAAAGUGCCACAGAAAAAUACUUCUCCGGUUUAAACCGGGGUAAAGGUGAAAAGGCAGGGUAAGAGCCUACCGCAGUAAUGGUAACAUUACUGGUCCAGAAAUGGAUUCCGCUUUUGGCGGAACAAGGUAAACCCCACUCGAAGCAAGGUCAAAUAAGGUAGUUGUUCCUUAACCGGAAGUGAGUUGUUCGCUCAUAAUAGCUGCCGGGUAGACCGCUGGAUCCCGUUAGUAAUAGCGGGACGAGAUAAAUGAUUGCCGUCCUGAUUUUUUUUCAGGAUUACAGAAUUCGGCUUACAGGUUUGGAUUGCUA
This 419-nucleotide RNase P RNA is filed under the name Ignavibacteriales bacterium. Its description in RNAcentral is "RNase P RNA component class A". It matches the Rfam family "Bacterial RNase P class A". Rfam says of the family: Ribonuclease P (RNase P) is a ubiquitous endoribonuclease, found in archaea, bacteria and eukarya as well as chloroplasts and mitochondria. The record is from RNAcentral. Lineage: Bacteria; Pseudomonadati; Ignavibacteriota; Ignavibacteria; Ignavibacteriales.